Molecule: ribosomal RNA, 801 nt
Filed under: Bacillus subtilis
Lineage: Bacteria; Bacillati; Bacillota; Bacilli; Caryophanales; Bacillaceae
Description: bacterial SSU rRNA
Rfam family: Bacterial small subunit ribosomal RNA
Source: RNAcentral
GGCGUAAAGGGCUCGCAGGCGGUUUCUUAAGUCUGAUGUGAAAGCCCCCGGCUCAACCGGGGAGGGUCAUUGGAAACUGGGGAACUUGAGUGCAGAAGAGGAGAGUGGAAUUCCACGUGUAGCGGUGAAAUGCGUAGAGAUGUGGAGGAACACCAGUGGCGAAGGCGACUCUCUGGUCUGUAACUGACGCUGAGGAGCGAAAGCGUGGGGAGCGAACAGGAUUAGAUACCCUGGUAGUCCACGCCGUAAACGAUGAGUGCUAAGUGUUAGGGGGUUUCCGCCCCUUAGUGCUGCAGCUAACGCAUUAAGCACUCCGCCUGGGGAGUACGGUCGCAAGACUGAAACUCAAAGGAAUUGACGGGGGCCCGCACAAGCGGUGGAGCAUGUGGUUUAAUUCGAAGCAACGCGAAGAACCUUACCAGGUCUUGACAUCCUCUGACAAUCCUAGAGAUAGGACGUCCCCUUCGGGGGCAGAGUGACAGGUGGUGCAUGGUUGUCGUCAGCUCGUGUCGUGAGAUGUUGGGUUAAGUCCCGCAACGAGCGCAACCCUUGAUCUUAGUUGCCAGCAUUCAGUUGGGCACUCUAAGGUGACUGCCGGUGACAAACCGGAGGAAGGUGGGGAUGACGUCAAAUCAUCAUGCCCCUUAUGACCUGUGCUACACACGUGCUACAAUGGACAGAACACAGGGCAGCGAAACCGCGAGGUUAAGCCAAUCCCACAUAUCUGUUCUCAGUUCGGAUCGCAGUCUGCAACUCGACUGCGUGAAGCUGGAAUCGCUAGUAAUCGCGGAUCAGCAUGCC